UACCUUGUUGAUCAUGCCAGUAAUCAUAUGCUUGUCUCAAAGAUUAAGCCAUACAUAUGUAAGUAUGAACAAAUUCAGACUGUGAAACUGUGAAUGGCUCCUUAAACCAGUUAUAGUUUGUUUGAUGGUAUCUACUACUCGGAUAACUGUAGUAAUUCUAUAGAUAAUGCAUGUAACAAACCCUGACUUUUGGAAAGGAUGGAUUUAUUAGAUAAAAUUUGAUGAGAGCUCUGCACAUUGCUGCAAUGAUUAAUGAUAACUCGAUGGAUCGCAUGACCAUCAUGCCGGUGAGAAAGCCUGAGAAAUGGCGACCACAUAAAAGGAAAGCAGUAGGUACACAAAUUACCCAAUCUUGACACGGGCAGGUUGUGACAAUGAAUAACAAUAUCGGGCUUAAUGAUUCUAGUAAUUGGGAUGAGUACAAUCUAAAUCCCUUAACGAGGAUCUAUUUGAGGGAAAUUUUGGUGGCAACAACCAUGGUAAUUCAAGCUAUAAUAGCAUAUAUUUAAAUUGUUGUAGUUAAAAAUCUCAUAGUUGUACUUUGUAAUGGGCCAGCCAGCCUUCCUAUGGUGUGCACCGGUUGUCUCACCCUUUUUUUGGCAAUUCAUUCCUGGCCUUAAUUGGUCGGGUCAUUCCUCUAGCUCUGUUACUACGAUGAAAUUAAAGUGCUCAAAUCAAGCCUAUGCUCUGUAUAUAUUAUCUUGGGAUAACAUUAUAUUAUUUCGGUCCUAUUACAUUGUCCUUCAGGAUCAGAGUAAUGAUUAACAGUGACAUUCGGGGGCAUUCCUAUUUCAUAGUCAGAAGUGAAAUUCUUAGAUUUAUAAAAGACUAACAACUGCUAAAACAUUUGCCAAGGAUGUUUUCAUUUAUCAAGAACAAAAUUUGAGGGCUAGAAGAUGAUCAGAUACCUUCCUAGUCUCAACAAUAAAUGAUGUCGACCAUCGAUGGACGGAUGUUGCUGUUAGGACUCUGCCGGCACCUUAUGAGAAAUUUUUGUUUUUGGUUUGUAGGGGGAUUACGAUCGCAAGGUUGAAAUAUAAAUGAAUUGAUGGAAGGGCACCACAAGGAGUGGAUCAUGUGGCUUAAUUUGACUCAAAACGGGGAAACUUACCAGGUCCAUACAUAGUAAGGAUUGACAGAAUAAGAGCUCUUUCUUGAUUCUAUGGGUGAUAGUGCUUGGCCGUUCAUAGUUGGAGGAGCUAUUUUUCUUAUUAAUUCUGUUAGCGAAUGAGACCUCAGCCUGCUAACUAUCAAUAUGGAGGUAUCCCUUUGUGGCCAGCUUCUUAAAGGGACUAUGACCUUUUAGGCGAUGAAAGCUUGAGAUAAUAACAGGUUUGUGAUGCCCAUAGAUGCUCUAGGCCGCAGACAUGCUACGCGGAUAUAUUCAACAAGUUUAUAGCCUUGAACAAAGGUAUAGGUAAUCUUUUAAAUUUCAUUAUGAUGGGGAUAGAUAAUUGUAAUUGUUGGUUUUCAACAAAGAAUUCCUAGCAAGCGCGAGUCAUCAGCUCGUGUUAACUACAUCCUGGCCCUUUUUACACGCUGCCCAUUGUCCCUACCGAUUGAAUGAUCUGGUGAAAUUUGGGUUGCAAUGAUAUGGGCGGUUCGCUGCCUGUUACAUCAAAGAAAGUCCAUUGAACCUUAUCAUUUAUAGAAAGAAGAAGUCGUUGCAAAGUUUUCGAAGCUGAACCUGUGGAAGGAUCAUUG
Non-coding RNA from Capsicum annuum, 1704 nucleotides. The record is from Rfam. NCBI's taxonomy places the organism in Eukaryota, Viridiplantae, Streptophyta, Magnoliopsida, Solanales, Solanaceae.